AACGAACGCUGGCGGCAUGCCUAACACAUGCAAGUCGAACGAAGCCUUCGGGCUUAGUGGCGCACGGGUGCGUAACGCGUGGGAAUCUGCCCUUGGGUUCGGAAUAACAGUUAGAAAUGACUGCUAAUACCGAAUGAAUGUCUUCGGACCAAAGAUUUAUCGCCCAAGGAUGAGCCCGCGUCGGAUUAGCUAGUUGGUGAGGUAAAGGCUCACCAAGGCGACGAUCCGUAGCUGGUCUGAGAGGAUGAUCAGCCACACUGGACUGAGACACGGCCCAGACUCCUACGGGAGGCAGCAGUGGGGAAUAUUGGACAAUGGCGAAAGCCUGAUCCAGCAAUGCCGCGUGAGUGAUGAAGGCCUUAGGGUUGUAAAGCUCUUUUA
Molecule: ribosomal RNA, 381 nt
Filed under: uncultured bacterium
Lineage: Bacteria
Description: bacterial SSU rRNA
Rfam family: Bacterial small subunit ribosomal RNA
Source: RNAcentral